UAUCUAUAGAUCACAUUUGGAUUUAUCUGUUGCCAUUACAUUUUUAAUUUUUUUUUUUUUUUAUUAAAGUAGGGAGGGGAUUUAUAUGGCUCCAUUCCUGGGUGGGUCUCGCGUGAGAGGAAGAGGGUGAGUUAGCAUAUUUUUCAGAUCAUAAAGCGUACCGGAUUAUAAGGCGCACUGUCGAUGAACGCGUCUAUUCGGGACUAUUUUUAUAGAAAAGGUGCACCAGAUUAUAAGGCACACGGUCAAUUCAGGACUAUUUUCAUACAAAAGGCGCACCAGAUUAUAAAGCGCAAUGUUGAUGAAUGGGACUAUUCGGGACUACUUUCAUUCAAAAAGCGCACUAGAUUAUAAGGCGCAAUGUUGAUGAAUGGGACUAUUCGGGACUAUUUUCAUUCAAAAGGCGCACCAGAUUAUAAGGCGCAAUGUCGAUGAAUGGGUCUAUUUGGGACUAUUUUCAUAGAAAAGGUGCUCCAUGAACAGGUUAAUUCUGGAUUAUUUUCAAACUAAAAGAUGCACCAGAUUAUAGGGCGCACUGUCGAUGAACGGGUCUAUUCGGGACUAUUUUCAUCCAAAAGGUGCACCAGAUUAUAAAGCGCACCGUCGAUGAACUGGUCUAUUCGGGACUAUUUUCAUAGAAAAGGUGCACCAGACCAUAAGGCGCACUGUCAAUUUGAGACUAUUUUCAUCCAAAAGGCGCACCGGAUUACAAAGCGCACCGUCGUUGAACGGGACUAUAUGGGACUAUUUUCACAGAAAAGGUGCACCAGAUUAUAAAACACACGGUCAAUUCGGGAUUAUUUUCCUCCAAAAGGCGCACCAGAUUAUAAAGCGCACUGUCGAUGAAUGGGACUAUUUGGGACUAUUUUCAUCCAAAAGGUGCACCAUGAACAGGUUAAUUCGGGAUUAUUUUCAAACUAAAGGUGGACCAGAUUAUAGGGCGCACUGUCGAUGAACCGGUCUAAUUGGGACUAUUUUCAUACAAAAGGCGCACCAGAUUAUAAGGCCCAAUGUUGAUCAACGGGUCUAUUUGGGACUAUUUUCAUAGAAAAGGUGCACCAUGAACAGGUUAAUUCGGAAUUAUUUUCAAACUAAAAAAUGCACCAGAUUAUAGGGCGCACUGUCGAUGAACGGGUCUAUUCGGGACUAUUUUCAUCCAAAAGGUGCACCAGAUUAUAAAGCGCACCGUCGAUGAACUGGUCUAUUCGGGACUAUUUUCAUAGAAAAGAUGCACCAGACCAUAAGGCGCACGGUCUAUUUGAGCCUAUUUUCAUCCAAAAGGCGCACCGGAUUAUAAAGCGUAAUGUUGAUGAACUGGUCUAUUUGGGACUAUCUUCAUACAAAAGGCGCACCGGAUUACAAAGCGCACCGUCGAUGAAUGGGACUAUUUUCAUAGAAAAGGCGCACCAGAUUAUAAAGCACACGGUCAAUUCGGGAUUAUUUUCCUCCAAAAGGCGCACCAGAUUAUAAGGCUCACUGUCGAUGAACGGGACUAUUUUCAUCCAAAAGGCGCACCAGAUUGUAAAGCGCACUGUCGAUGAACGGUUCUAUUUGGGACUAUUUUCAUAGAAAAGGUGCACCAUGAACAGGUUAAUUCGGGAUUAUUUUCAAACUAAAUGGUGCACCAGAUUAUAGGGCGCACUGUCAAUGAACGGGUCUAUUCGGGACUAUUUUCAUCCAAAAGGUGCACCAGAUUAUAAAGCGCACCGUUGAUGGCGCACCGGAUUAUAAGGCGCACUGUCAAUGAAUGGGUCUAUUUAGGACUAUUUUCAUCGAAAAGGUGCACCAUGAACAGGUUAAUUUGGGAUUAUUUUCAAACAAAAGGCGCACCAGUUUAUAAGGCGCACUGUCGAUGAACGGGUCUAUUCGGGAUUAUUUUCAUCCAAAAGGUGCACCAGAUUGUAAAGCGCACUGUCGAUGAACGGUUCUAUUUGGGACUAUUUUCAUCGAAAAGGUGCACCAUGAACAGGUUAAUUCGGGAUUAUUUUCAAACUAAAAGGUGCACCAGAUUAUAAAGCGCACCGUUGAUGAACUGGUCUAUUCGAGACUAUUUUCAUUCAAAAGGUGCACCAGACCAUAAGGCGCACUGUCGAUGAAUGGGUCUAUUUGGGACUACUUUCUUAGAAAAGGCGCACCAGAUUAUAAGGCACACAGUGAAUUCGAGGUUAUUUUCCUCCAAAAGGCGCACCAGAUUGUAAAGCGCACUGUCGAUGAACGGGACUAUUUGGGACUAUUUUCAUAGAAAAGGUGCACCAGACCAUAAGGCGCACUGUCGAUGAAUGGGUCUAUUUGGGACUACUUUCUUAGAAAAGGCGCACCAGAUUAUAAGGCACACGGUGAAUUCGAGGUUAUUUUCCUCCAAAAGGCGCACCAGAUUGUAAAGCGCACUGUCGAUGAACGGGACUAUUUGGGACUAUUUUCAUAGAAAAGGUGCACCAGACCAUAAGGCACACUGUCGAUAAACGGGACUAUUUGGGACUAUUUUCAUAAAAAAAGGUGCACCAGACCAUAAGGCGCACUGUCGAUGAACGGGACUAUUUUCAUAGAAAAGGUGCACCAUGAACAGGUUAAUUGGGGAUUAUUUUCAAACUAAAGGUGCACCAGAUUGUAAAAUGCAAUGUCGAUGAACGGGUCUAUUUGGGACUAUUUUGAUCCAAAAGGUGCACCAGAUUAUAAAGUGCAAUGUUGAUGAACGGGACUAUUCUGAACUAUUUUCAUAGAAAAGGUGCACCAGACCAUAAGGCGCACUGUCGAUGAACGGGUCUAUUUGGGACUAUUUUCAUAGAAAAGGUGCACCAUGAACAGGUUAAUUCGGGAUUAUUUUCCUCCAAAAGGUGCACCAGAUUAUAAAGCGCACUGUCGAUGAGCGGGACUAUUUGGGACUAUUUUCAUAGAAAAGGUGCACCAGACCAUAAGGCGCACUGUCAAUAAACGGGACUAUUUGGGACUAUUUUCAUAGAAAAGGUGCACCAUGAACAGGUUAAUUGGGUAUUAUUUUCCUCCAAAAGGCGCACCAGAUUAUAAAGCGCACUGUCGAUGAGCGGGACUAUUUGGGACUAUUUUCAUAGAAAAGGUGCACCAGACCAUAAGGCGCACUGUCGAUAAACGGGACUAUUUGGGACUAUUUUCAUAGAAAAGGUGCACCAUGAACAGGUUAAUUCGGGAUUAUUUUCAAACAAAAGGUGCAUCAGAUUGUAAAAUGCAAUGUCGAUGAACGGGUCUAUUUGGGACUAUUUUGAUCCAAAAGGUGCACCAGAUUAUAAAGCGCAAUGUUGAUGAACGGGACUAUUCUGAACUAUUUUCAUAGAAAAGGUGCACCAGACCAUAAGGCGCACUGUCGAUGAACGGGUCUAUUUGGGACUAUUUUCAUAGAAAAGGUGCACCAUGAACAGGUUAAUUCGGGAUUAUUUUCCUCCAAAAGGUGCACCAGAUUAUAAAGCGCACUGUCGAUGAGCGGGACUAUUUGGGACUAUUUUCAUAGAAAAGGUGCACCAGACCAUAAGGCGCACUGUCGAUGAACGGGUCUAUUUGGGACUAUUUUCAUAGAAAAGGUGCACCAUGAACAGGUUAAUUCGGGAUUAUUUUCCUCCAAAAGGUGCACCAGAUUAUAAAGCGCACUGUCGAUGAGCGGGACUAUUUGGGACUAUUUUCAUAGAAAAGGUGCACCAGACCAUAAGGCGCACUGUCAAUAAACGGGACUAUUUGGGACUAUUUUCAUAGAAAAGGUGCACCAUGAACAGGUUAAUUGGGGAUUAUUUUCCUCCAAAAGGCGCACCAGAUUAUAAAGCGCACUGUCGAUGAGCGGGACUAUUUGUGACUAUUUUCAUAGAAAAGGUGCACCAGACCAUAAGGCGCACUGUCGAUAAACGGGACUAUUUGGGACUAUUUUCAUAGAAAAGGUGCACCAUGAACAGGUUAAUUCGGGAUUAUUUUCAAACAAAAGGUGCAUCAGAUUGUAAAAUGCAAUGUCGAUGAACGGGUCUAUUUGGGACUAUUUUGAUCCAAAAGGUGCACCAGAUUAUAAAGUGCAAUGUUGAUGAACGGGACUAUUUUCAUAGAAAAGGUGCACCAGACCAUAAAGUGCAUGGUCUAUUUUAGACUAUUUUCAUGGAAAAGGUGCACCAGACCAUAAGGCGCACUGUCAAUGAACAGGUCUAUUCGGGACUAUUUUCAUUCAAAAGGUGCACCGGAUUAUAAGGCGCACUGUCGAUGAACGGGACUAUUUGGGACUAUUUUCAUAGAAAAGGUGCACCAGACCAUAAGGCGCACUGUCGAUAAACCGAACUAUUUGGGACUAUUUUCAUAGAAAAGGUGCACCAUGAACAGGUUAAUUGGGGAUUAUUUUCAAACUAAAGGUGCACCAGAUUGUAAAAUGCAAUGUCGAUGAACGGGUCUAUUUGGGACUAUUUUGAUCCAAAAGGUGCACCAGAUUAUAAAGUGCAAUGUUGAUGAACGGGACUAUUCGGGACUAUUUUCAUAGAAAAAGGUGCACCAGAUCAUAAGGCGCACUGUCGAUGAACUGGUCUAUUCGAGACUAUUUUCAUUCAAAAGGUGCACCAGACCAUAAGGCGCACUGUCGAUGAACGGGUCUAUUCGGGACUAUUUUCAUUCAAAAGGCGCACCGGAUUAUAAGGCGCACUGUCGAUGAACGGGACUAUUUGGGACUAUUUUCAUAGAAAAGGUGCAUCAGACCAUAAGGCGCACUGUCGAUAAACGAGACUAUUUGGGACUAUUUUCAUAGAAAAGGUGCACCAGACCAUAAGGCGCACUGUCGAUGAACGGGUCUAUUCGGGACUAUUUUCAUUCAAAAGGCGCACCGGAUUAUAAGGCGCACUGUCGAUGAACGGGACUAUUUGGGACUAUUUUCAUAGAAAAGGUGCACCAAGAACAGGUUAAUUCGGGAUUAUUUUCAAACAAAAGGCGCACCGGAUUAUAAGGCGCCCUGUCGAUGAACGGGACUAUUUGGGACUAUUUUCAUUCAAUAAGUACUGUAUACAUAUUGCAGCUUGUAGUCCUGUUCCCUGUCUGCACUUAUCUUGUCCAAACAGGACACUCAAACUGGGCCAGCGUGUUUUUAAGCUCGGGCUUCUCCUUGGCAGAAACGCUUCCUGUCCCUCCCUCAUUGUGCGGGAACACACCUGCACAGGUACAUGUACCGUUACACCCCUACUAUGCAGCGUCAACGUCAUGCUCUACAUUCAACAAGAAGAAAGGUGGCCAUUGUAAGAAUGCAUUGAGCUAACAAAACCAAAGGUUGGCGUUUAUUGCAGAGCAACACCCGUCUUUUUAUUUCUCCUUUUUUUCUUCUGUCUUUUUCAAACUCAAAGGAUGCGGGAGAAUGUAGCCAAUUGUAGCGCUUGAGUCCGCUAUGCAAAUCCACCCUCCCCCUCAAGGCCCUGUAUCAGCCAGGAGGACACAACACAACACAACACAACACACACUUCAAGAGGAGAUGUCAUGUUUUAAUGCUGCUGGUGGACUUUCUUCUUCUUCUGCAUCUAUUUACUCGUUAUACUUUCAAGCAAUGGAAUGCAAGCAGUGAAGAAGAGCAGGAGAGCGACCCACCAGAAGGAAUGAAUGAAUGAAUGUAUGCUACAGGAUGUGUCACAUUAGUCGUGUUGCUCGAUGGAAAGCGGGAACCUGUAUUUUUGCAAUAAACUUAUUACCGAUGCACUCCCACAGGGGGCGUAACCACCGUA
Molecule: non-coding RNA, 5699 nt
Organism: Nerophis lumbriciformis (worm pipefish)
Lineage: Eukaryota; Metazoa; Chordata; Actinopteri; Syngnathiformes; Syngnathidae
Source: RefSeq, a predicted model, not a curated record